UACGUAGGGUGCGAGCGUUAAUCGGAAUUACUGGGCGUAAAGCGUGCGCAGGCGGUGAUGUAAGACAGAUGUGAAAUCCCCGGGCUCAACCUGGGACCUGCAUUUGUGACUGCAUCGCUGGAGUGCGGCAGAGGGGGAUGGAAUUCCGCGUGUAGCAGUGAAAUGCGUAGAUAUGCGGAGGAACACCGAUGGCGAAGGCAAUCCCCUGGGCCUGCACUGACGCUCAUGCACGAAAGCGUGGGGAGCAAACAGG
This 253-nucleotide ribosomal RNA is filed under the name uncultured bacterium. RNAcentral's name for it is "partial 16S ribosomal RNA". It matches the Rfam family "Bacterial small subunit ribosomal RNA", at positions 524 to 776 of the family's 1533-position model. The record is from RNAcentral.